AGCGGGGUAGAGGAAGUGGCUAUAGACUCAGCAGGCUCAUGACCUGAUGUUUGCAGGUUCGAAUCCUGUUCCCGCCG
RNAcentral lists this transfer RNA (77 nucleotides) under Picea glauca (white spruce). RNAcentral describes it as "tRNA-Met". It matches the Rfam family "tRNA". From Rfam's summary of the family: Transfer RNA (tRNA) molecules are approximately 80 nucleotides in length. Their secondary structure includes four short double-helical elements and three loops (D, anti-codon, and T loops). Lineage: Eukaryota; Viridiplantae; Streptophyta; Pinopsida; Pinales; Pinaceae. The record is from RNAcentral.